UUAGGUUUAAGCUAUAUAAGCUUUUGGGUUCAUACCCCAUUGAAUUUAUCCUAAA
Molecule: transfer RNA, 55 nt
Filed under: Panonychus citri (citrus red mite)
Lineage: Eukaryota; Metazoa; Arthropoda; Arachnida; Trombidiformes; Tetranychidae
Description: tRNA-Met
Source: RNAcentral